AAGGCUCACCAAGACCGUGAUGCAUAGCCGACCUGAGAGGGUAAUCGGCCACACUGGGACUGAGACACGGCCCAGACUCCUACGGGAGGCAGCAGUAGGGAAUCUUCCACAAUGGACGAAAGUCUGAUGGAGCAACGCCGCGUGAGUGAAGAAGGUUUUCGGAUCGUAAAACUCUGUUGUUGGAGAAGAAUGUAUCUGAUAGUAACUGAUCAGGUAGUGACGGUAUCCAACCAGAAAGCCACGGCUAACUACGUGCCAGCAGCCGCGGUAAUACGUAGGUGGCAAGCGUUGUCCGGAUUUAUUGGGCGUAAAGCGAGCGCAGGCGGUUUCUUAAGUCUGAUGUGAAAGCCUUCGGCUCAACCGAAGAAGUGCAUCGGAAACUGGGAAACUUGAGUGCAGAAGAGGACAGUGGAACUCCAUGUGUAGCGGUGAAAUGCGUAGAUAUAUGGAAGAACACCAGUGGCGAAGGCGGCUGUCUGGUCUGUAACUGACGCUGAGGCUCGAAAGCAUGGGUAGCAAACAGGAUUAGAUACCCUGGUAGUCCAUGCCGUAAACGAUGAGUGCUAGGUGUUGGAGGGUUUCCGCCCUUCAGUGCCGCAGCUAACGCAUUAAGCACUCCGCCUGGGGAGUACGACCGCAAGGUUGAAACUCAAAGGAAUUGACGGGGGCCCGCACAAGCGGUGGAGCAUGUGGUUUAAUUCGAAGCAACGCGAAGAACCUUACCAGGUCUUGACAUCCUUUGACCACUCUAGAGAUAGAGCUUUCCCUUCGGGGACAAAGUGACAGGUGGUGCAUGGUUGUCGUCAGCUCGUGUCGUGAGAUGUUGGGUUAAGUCCCGCAACGAGCGCAACCCUUAUUACUAGUUGCCAGCAUUUAGUUGGGCACUCUAGUGAGACUGCCGGUGACAAACCGGAGGAAGGUGGGGACGACGUCAAAUCAUCAUGCCCCUUAUGACCUGGGCUACACACGUGCUACAAUGGAUGGUACAACGAGUUGCGAGACCGCGAGGUUUAGCUAAUCUCUUAAAACCAUUCUCAGUUCGGAUUGUAGGCUGCAACUCGCCUACAUGAAGCCGGAAUCGCUAGUAAUCGCGGAUCAGCAUGCCGCGGUGAAUACGUUCCCGGGCCUUGUACACACCGCCCGUCACACCAUGAGAGUUUGUAACACCCAAAGCCGGUGAGGUAACCCUUCGGGGAGCCAGCCGUCUAAG
RNAcentral lists this ribosomal RNA (1210 nucleotides) under Latilactobacillus sakei. RNAcentral describes it as "bacterial SSU rRNA". It matches the Rfam family "Bacterial small subunit ribosomal RNA", at positions 260 to 1461 of the family's 1533-position model. Lineage: Bacteria; Bacillati; Bacillota; Bacilli; Lactobacillales; Lactobacillaceae. The record is from RNAcentral.